RNAcentral lists this transfer RNA (73 nucleotides) under Candidatus Altarchaeales archaeon. RNAcentral's name for it is "tRNA-Asn". It matches the Rfam family "tRNA". From Rfam's summary of the family: Transfer RNA (tRNA) molecules are approximately 80 nucleotides in length. Their secondary structure includes four short double-helical elements and three loops (D, anti-codon, and T loops). Further hydrogen bonds mediate the characteristic L-shaped molecular structure. tRNAs have two regions of fundamental functional importance: the anti-codon, which is responsible for specific mRNA codon recognition, and the 3' end, to which the tRNAs corresponding amino acid is attached (by aminoacyl-tRNA synthetases). tRNAs cope with the degeneracy of the genetic code in two manners: having more than one tRNA (with a specific anti-codon) for a particular amino acid; and 'wobble' base-pairing, i.e. permitting non-standard base-pairing at the 3rd anti-codon position. RNAcentral also lists the same sequence under 1 other name. Lineage: Archaea; Nanobdellati; Candidatus Altarchaeota; Candidatus Altarchaeia; Candidatus Altarchaeales. The record is from RNAcentral.
GCCUCUGUAGCUCAGUUGGUAGAGCGCUCGACUGUUAAUCGAGUGGUCCAAGGUUCAAGUCCUUGCGGGGGCG